UUUCUUGUGAUUUGGCUGAGUUUCUUCUUCUUUUUGCGCGAUUCACGUGUUGUUGAUGAUGUUACAGGAUUUGAUAUCAGAGUUGACGCCAUGGAUUCGAUUCGAUUAGGUAGAAUCGAAUUGUAAGUAUGUAUAGCUGUGGAUGAAGAUGGAGAUUCAAUCAGAUGAGAAUAAUAUGAAUAAGAAUCAGGAGAAUCGAGAGAUUCGUAAGAGAAUUUACUUGAUCUAAAACUGACAACUAAUAAAAUUAAAAUGAUCGAUGCAUAGCAAACACAUAAACGAGAGAGAGAUAUAUUACCUUUCGGAGAUUCCGGCGAUGAAGUAUAGGUGUCGAUGGUGGAUGUGUGAGCGGAGAGAGAGAGAGAGAGAGAGGGAGAGAG
RNAcentral lists this long non-coding RNA (380 nucleotides) under Daucus carota (carrot). RNAcentral describes it as "long non-coding RNA (DCAR_LNC004673)". Lineage: Eukaryota; Viridiplantae; Streptophyta; Magnoliopsida; Apiales; Apiaceae. The record is from RNAcentral.